Molecule: RNA transcript, 4466 nt
Organism: Carassius gibelio (silver crucian carp)
Lineage: Eukaryota; Metazoa; Chordata; Actinopteri; Cypriniformes; Cyprinidae
Exons: 3
Source: RefSeq, a predicted model, not a curated record
UUUUUCGUAUAUUUUUUUAUUGCUACGUGGCAAACAAGUUACCAGUAGGUUCAGUAGAUUCUCAGAAAACAAAUGAGACCCAGCAUUCAUGAUAUGCACGCUCUUAAGGCUGUGCAAUUGGGCAAUUAGUUGAAUUAGUUGAAAGGGAUGUGUUCAAAAAAAUAGCAGUGUGGCAUUCAAUCACUGAGGUCAUCAAUUUUGUGAAGAAACAGGUGUGAAUCAGGUGGUCCCUAUUUAAGGAUGAAGCCAACACUUGUUGAACAUGCAUUUGAAAGCUGAGGAAAAUGGGUCGGUCAAGACAUUGUUCAGAAGAACAGUGUACUUUGAUUAAAAAGUUGAUUAGAGAGGGGAAAACCUAUAAAGAGGUGCAAAAAUGAUAGGCUGUUCAGCUAAAAUGAUCUCCAAUGCCUUAAAAUGGAGAGCAAAACCAGAGAGACGUGGAAGAAAACGGAAGACAACCAUCAAAAUGGAUAGAAGAAUAACCAGAAUGGCAAAGGCUCAGCCAAUGAUCACAUCCAGGAUGAUCAAAGACAGUCUGGAGUUACCUGUAAGUACUGUGACAGUUAGAAGACGUCUGUGUGAAGCUAAUCUAUUUUCAAGAAUCCCCCGCAAAGUCCCUCUGUUAAAAAAAAGGCAUGUGCAGAAGAGGUUACAAUUUGCCAAAGAACACAUCAACUGGCCUAAAGAGAAAUGGAGGAACAUUUUGUGGACUGAUGAGAGUAAAAUUGUUCUUUUUGGGUCCAAGGGCCACAGGCAGUUUGUGAGACGACCCCCAAACUCUGAAUUCAAGCCACAGUACACAGUGAAGACAGUGAAGCAUGGAGGUGCAAGCAUCAUGAUAUGGGCAUGUUUCUCCUACUAUGGUGUUGGGCCUAUUUAUCGCAUACCAGGGAUCAUGGAUCAGUUUGCAUAUGUUAAAAUACUUGAAGAGGUCAUGUUGCCCUAUGCUGAAGAGGACAUGCCCUUGAAAUGGUUGUUUCAACAAGACAAUGACCCAAAACACACCAGUAAACGGGCAAAGUCUUGGUUCCAAACCAACAAAAUUAAUGUUAUGGAGUGGCCAGCCCAAUCUCCAGACCUUAAUCCAAUUGAGAACUUGUGGGGUGAUAUCAAAAAUGCUGUUUCUGAAGCAAAACCAAGAAAUGUGAAUGAAUUGUGGAAUGUUGUUAAAGAAUCAUGGAGUGGAAUAACAGCUGAGAGGUGCCACAAGUUGGUUGACUCCAUGCCACACAGAUGUCAAGCAGUUUUAAAAAACUGUGGUCAUACAACUAAAUAUUAGUUUAGCGAUUCACAGGAUUGCUAAAUCCCAGAAAAAAAAAAUGUUUGUACAAAAUAGUUUUGAGUUUGUACAGUCAAAGGUAGACACUGCUAUUUUUUUGAACACACCCCUUUCAACUAAUUGCCCAAUUGCACAGCCUUAAGAGCGUGCAUAUCAUGAAUGCUGGGUCUCAUUUGUUUUCUGACAAUCUACUGAACCUACUGGUAACUUGUUUGCCACGUAGCAAUAAAAAAUAUACUAAAAACCUUGAUUAUUCUGGUUAGUCACAUUGUACUGCUAUUAUUUUGAACAAUACUGUAAUUCCAUAUUUUUGAGCAGUUGUGUGAACCACAGAAUAUCCUGAAACUAUGUCAGGAGCCACAUUGAAAAGUUGCAUAUCACUUCAAGCUUAUCACAUUCCUACUUCUUAACACUGCAAAAAAAAAAAAGUUUUAAUCAGUAUUUUGUCUUGUUUUCCUGUAAUAUUAAACAUUCUUAAACGAGGUUCUUUUUUUUUUAGAGCAAGCGAAUAAAUAGACUUGAAAAUGCAUCAAAUAUUUCUUAGCAAAAGUCAUAUUUAAAAUUAUAAAUAUUAAAUUAGAUUUAUUUAAUAUGCUGAGCUUUGCUAUGUAUUUUGCCAAAAUAAAUGUAGUUGCUUUGUCAUUUACCAAAAUUUAUUAAAACCUAAACUUAAAUAUUUUAUUUAAUCAAUUAUUAUGCUUGUGUAUGUACACCAUUGUGAGAUUACCAAAUCCAAAGCAAGUGAUGCAAUGCUAAAUUUCUCCAACUCUUCUUCAUCUUGGAUGAUCUGAGGGUACAUUUUGGGUACUUUAUUAUUAUUAUUUUUUUUUUACACAUGUAUCUCUAAGUAUGAACCUCAGUAAAUUAAAUUGAGAUAGUUAUGUUUUAAAUAACAAAAACUUUGCCGGAAACCAAGAAAAAAAAACUGAUUUAAAAAAACUUCUUCUUUUUUUUUUUUUUUUUGCAGUUGCAACAAUGUAUAUUAGUAAUGUGUGCCACUAUAAAAUGCUCCCUGUUCAUAUCUCCCUGAGGGUUUUGUAGCUAGCACAUAAUAUUUGUAGUCUCCAUUGAUUUCCAUCAUUGGGUGCAGUGUGCUAGAUUAAACUGCUGUUUACAUGGAGAGACAGACAGCAAGAAACGGCGAAGGAAAAUGUGGAUGCAUUUAUUGCACAGCUCAUAGCUUUUACCGUUUGAAGCUGUAUCCUGCCUGCUGUGAAAAUAAGACAAAGAAGAAAAAAAAAAAAUUUUAUAUUAUUGAGGAAAAUAUUGAAUCUGUUAAAGAUGGCACAUGCCGGGGCCCAUUCAGAUCAAUAUUACUGUCUAGUGUUAGAUGUGUAUUUACCUUGUACAGCUGUACUCCUAUAAAUAUGGUUUAAUGUAUUAUUGAUAGUUUCAAAGACUAAGUGAUCAAAUAUUUUUAUGAAAUGCAACAGUACGGAUAUAAUAAAUUUUGCUAAAAUCUUGUUUACCUGUAUGAUAUUCUGAUAUACUGUUAAAUAAACUCUUGACAAAGUUCAUUUUAUAGCUCUCAUUAAUAUACACUGUUUCAUACAUUGAGAUAGAUAGACAGACAGACAGACAGACUGACUGACUGACUGAUGGAGAUUUUAAAGUAUGUCCUGUGAAUACUGGAGUGUAAUGUGACAACUAGCCCCAGUCUCCGCUUCAAGUUGUCUUCCAGACCACAAGGUGGCGCAACACUACGUUCUAAAUGUGAAAAACAUUCAAUGAGGCGGUUCAAAAGAACACGAAAAACAAACCCAAAACUGGAUGAUGUCUGAAAAGCAUAGAAACCUUCCUCCCUGGAUGGUGAAAUCCGACGUUCAAAGAAGCAAAGACAAUGAAGCGGUGAUGAAGAAAACGCGUGGUGAAACCACAAAAAGUAAAGCUAAGAAGCGGCUCAAAAGUGUCAAGUAUUGGAUGAACGAGCGGGAGCUCGUGGAAACAGCGCUCGUCCUUUUGAAGGAUGAUGAGGCAUGUGCUAAAGAUGCAAUGCAAGCCCCAGAGGAGCUGAGGAUCAUUCCGGAGACAGAUGAAGACGCGUCAGACCCGGAUGUGCAGGACAGAAGAUGUGUUUCAGACAUCGCAGAGCAGGAGACUGUGCCAUAUGGAAACUACAUGGAAGAAAGAGCCUGUACAAAAGCAGACUGCCAUCUGAAACCUCCUCCUGAUGGUUCAGGAGCUUCUGAGAAGCAUGAUGUGGAUGAUGAGGCUCUUGAACUUGUUCGCGAGAUUUUUUUCAAAUAAUUUAAACCUGAAGACACAAAGUUUAGUGCUAGCAAACAUAAUUUUAUCAAGAUUUAAAGUGAUACUUAAUAACUUAGUCAUCCUCAUGUCACUGCAAACCUGCUUGGUUUUCUUCUGUGGAGCACAAAAGGUGAUAUUUGGAAGAAUGUCCUGGUCACUCUUUUCCAUGCAGUUACAGUGAAUGCCAACUUUCAACCUACAAAAGGCCCACCUAAAAAGGCCUAAUUAAUUGGGUUUGGGACAGCAUGAGGGUGAGUAUAUGUUGUUGUUGUUGUUUUUUAUAUAUGCAUUAUCUCUUUUUACUUUACUUUUGAUUCUUUUUUUUAUAUUGCAAGCUCUGCUUUUCUGCAGGGAAUGAAAAUCCAGUUAUGAUUUUAUGUUUUUUUUUUUUUGUUCUGUUGUUUGAUGCCUGAACAAAGGUGAUUUCGUAUUUGUUUUCUAAACCAGCUGAUUUAUUACCGUAUUUUUCGGACUAUAAAACGCACUUCUGUUCAUAGUUUGGCUGGUCCUGCGACUUAUAGUGAGGUGUGGCUUAUUUAUCAAAAUUCAUUUUACAUGAACCAAGAGAAAACAUUACCGUCUACAGCCGCGAGAGGGCGCGCUAUGCUGCCAGAGAUGCUAAACAGUGCUCCUGUAGUCUACACUGAGCGGCAUAGAGCGCCCUCUCGCGGCUGGAGACGGUUAUGUUUACUCUUGGUUCUUGGAGUCCAGUGCCACUUGUGUUUUUUUCCUUGGCAUGACGUAUUUUUGGACUGAUGUGACUUAGAUGCGACUUAUAGUCCGAAAAAUACGGUAACUGUCAUUUGCACACUCGCACUUUCUAUAGUCCUUUGAGUAAGAAAGCAACAACAAAGGACAAAUGAGAUGAUGUUCAAUGACUUGCAAAAAUAGAUUGUAUAUUUAUUCAUUUUAAUAAAACAAUAAAACUGGUACUUGAACA